This 73-nucleotide transfer RNA is filed under the name Daphnia pulex (common water flea). Its description in RNAcentral is "tRNA-Thr". It matches the Rfam family "tRNA". Rfam says of the family: Transfer RNA (tRNA) molecules are approximately 80 nucleotides in length. The record is from RNAcentral. Lineage: Eukaryota; Metazoa; Arthropoda; Branchiopoda; Diplostraca; Daphniidae.
GGUCCUAUGGGUUAAAUGGCAAAGCGCCUGCCUAGUAAGCAGGAUAUCACGAGUUCGAGUCUCGUUGGGACCU